RNAcentral lists this transfer RNA (76 nucleotides) under Methylacidiphilales bacterium. RNAcentral describes it as "Candidatus Methylacidiphilales bacterium tRNA-Arg". It matches the Rfam family "tRNA". From Rfam's summary of the family: Transfer RNA (tRNA) molecules are approximately 80 nucleotides in length. Their secondary structure includes four short double-helical elements and three loops (D, anti-codon, and T loops). Lineage: Bacteria; Pseudomonadati; Verrucomicrobiota; Methylacidiphilae; Methylacidiphilales. The record is from RNAcentral.
GCUCCCGUAGCUCAGGGGAUAGAGCAGCGGAUUUCUAAUCCGUUGGUCGCAGGUUCAAAUCCUGCCGGGAGCGCCA